CCCAGUGUGGCCGAGCGGUCUAAGGCGCUGGAUUCAAGUUCCAUUCUCCUAGGAGGCGUGGGUUCGAAUCCCACCACUGCCA
Molecule: non-coding RNA, 82 nt
Organism: Rhincodon typus (whale shark)
Lineage: Eukaryota; Metazoa; Chordata; Chondrichthyes; Orectolobiformes; Rhincodontidae
Source: the annotation of a RefSeq genome assembly